RNAcentral lists this ribosomal RNA (482 nucleotides) under uncultured bacterium. RNAcentral's name for it is "partial 16S ribosomal RNA". It matches the Rfam family "Bacterial small subunit ribosomal RNA", at positions 30 to 507 of the family's 1533-position model. The record is from RNAcentral.
UUUGAACGCUGGCGGCAUGCUUUACACAUGCAAGUCGAACGGUAACAGCACUUCGGUGGCUGACGAGUGGCGAACGGGUGAGUAAUACAUCGGAACGUGCCUAGUAGUGGGGGAUAACUACUCGAAAGAGUAGCUAAUACCGCAUGAGAUCUAAGGAUGAAAGCAGGGGACCUUCGGGCCUUGCGCUACUAGAGCGGCUGAUGGCAGAUUAGGUAGUUGGUGGGAUAAAAGCUUACCAAGCCGACGAUCUGUAGCUGGUCUGAGAGGACGACCAGCCACACUGGGACUGAGACACGGCCCAGACUCCUACGGGAGGCAGCAGUGGGGAAUUUUGGACAAUGGGCGCAAGCCUGAUCCAGCAAUGCCGCGUGCAGGAUGAAGGCCUUCGGGUUGUAAACUGCUUUUGUACGGAACGAAAAGCCCUCUUCUAAUACAGGAGGGUCAUGACGGUACCGUAAGAAUAAGCACCGGCUAACUACGUG